This 112-nucleotide ribosomal RNA is filed under the name uncultured eukaryote. Its description in RNAcentral is "partial small subunit ribosomal RNA". It matches the Rfam family "Eukaryotic small subunit ribosomal RNA", at positions 1676 to 1785 of the family's 1831-position model. The record is from RNAcentral.
UCGCACCUACCGAUUGGAUGGUCCGGUGAGAAUUUCGGACUGUUAUUUAUCCUCCUUAAUUGGAGAUAAACGAAUAGGAAGUUAUUCAAACCUUACCAUCUAGAGGAAGGUG